GUGAACAUUUGGUGGUUGACACGUGUUGGAAGUGUUUGCGGUAUCUUGUGUGCAGUCAUAAAUAGCUACAAAGCACGUGCUUUCAUCCGCUGGAGAAAAUUAAUAAUGACAGGGUCACCGCCUAGCUUGCCCGGCCAGGCGGCACCCAAAUGUUAAUGUUGGAAAGGGUGAGGAUGGAUGCGAGCGUAUUGUGUACGGAAUUGUAUAACUGUGGAACAGAUUUCUUCUUGAGAAGUCCUAUCAUUUGAAGACAGCAGAUGGGAAGACAAAGAAUUCUGAACUAGUGGUACUAAGCAACUUCCUUAAUUUAAUCUACUCUUAAAUGUAAUUUUCAUUCAAAACAAUCUUUUCUGUCAAUUCAGGUUUGAUAAACGUAUGGGCCCUUUUACAUGAAGUCACUAAGCACACAGCCAUACUUGAUACAAAAAUCUGUAAUGUUGUAUACAUACAGUUUUGGUCUCAGCCAGGCUUUUCUUCCCAGUCAUCAUUACUGCUGUUACUUUCAAGUCACUGUCCCUCAGACUUAUGGACUCACUAGUACUUCUUUAUAAAAUAUUCUCCUAACUUCUCUGUCCAUCUUAUCAUAUCUUCCUAUAUUAUCAGUGUGGAUAACGACAGACAUCUCCCAACACAUGCUUACAAGAAUGAAGUUUACAACACUGCAUCAUACACAUGAAGACUGAAGACAAUGGCAUUGCACUUGUAGGAUGACUGUGAAGCAGCUAAUUUUGUGAUGUGGACUGUAACAGUCUCAAAAUGGUAAGUUCAGUCCAUUCUACAAGGCCAAGAAAAUGUGGGAGCCACCCACAAUGAAUCAAGUGCUGGCUGAUGAGUGCGGAUCACAGGAGCUCCAAUGCCCAUUGGUGACAGGAUACCUCAAACACGCUAGUUGUCAAUCGCAGUCUAGGAACCACCUGCUACUAUUCAAUGGCUCAGUAAUCAGCUUUCAGUAGAAAUGGAUUGGUAUGAAAAUUUAAUGGAACUGUAGAAACCAGUGAUUCCUUCUCGGUCAGUGCCUAAGUUACAUAGGGUGGACCAACCAGAGGAAUUUCCGUUGUCCGAAGCAUUAUUAAAUAAUGACUAAUGAAGACACAAAGAAACUCUUGUGGUUUUAGUCCGCAAGCGAACUAUACUGACCAAGCGACUGCCACUUGUCAGCAAAGUUAGUGCUACAACAGACUGGAAAAUUGGGAGUGUGCUUUAGUUGUAACAAAUUCAUCUGUAUAUUCAUUAUAGAAGUUUACUAAAUGGUUGUCUCUUCAAGCAUCAACAACCCCACGCGUGAAAUGCCUCCUCUCCCCCCACAAUCCUUCAUUACAUUUUGAAAUGUUUUCCCUCCAGCUCCAGUGUUAAGCAUGACAGUGUGUGCAACAGUUUAAUAAAGUGAACCUCUCUGCAGUCAGAAGUAACCCUUUAAAGGUAAAGGUGUUUCUCUGCUUAACUAAUUAAGCACUAUGCCAUGAAAGCAUGUGGGGAGUGGAUGUAUUACAUUUGUGAAAUAUGGCAAUGUCAAAGAGUGGGACAGUGAAUAAAAAGUGUCACACUUCUUACGAAAGGCAGGCUGAAACUGAAAGGAAUCCACAUUCUUGAUAUGCAUUGACACAAUUUCUAGGAAUAAGAAGGUACUGCCAGAUUUUAAACUGGACCUUUCAGUGCAUUCAAAUCUGCAUACGAGUUGGAUUUUUGAGAGAAGGGUUCAAAUAUACUUUUGCAUAUUUCUGGGAGUUUCAACAGUUUACU
Molecule: long non-coding RNA, 1740 nt
Organism: Cryptotermes secundus
Lineage: Eukaryota; Metazoa; Arthropoda; Insecta; Blattodea; Kalotermitidae
Exons: 3
Source: RefSeq, a predicted model, not a curated record